UAGGGAAUCUUCCACAAUGGACGCAAGUCUGAUGGAGCAACGCCGCGUGAGUGAAGAAGGUUUUCGGAUCGUAAAGCUCUGUUGUUGGUGAAGAAGGAUAGAGGCAGUAACUGGUCUUUAUUUGACGGUAAUCAACCAGAAAGUCACGGCUAACUACGUGCCAGCAGCCGCGGUAAUACGUAGGUGGCAAGCGUUGUCCGGAUUUAUUGGGCGUAAAGCGAGCGCAGGCGGAAUGAUAAGUCUGAUGUGAAAGCCCACGGCUCAACCGUGGAACUGCAUCGGAAACUGUCAUUCUUGAGUGCAGAAGAGGAGAGUGGAAUUCCAUGUGUAGCGGUGGAACGCGUAGAUAUAUGGAAGAACACCAGUGGCGAAGGCGGCUCUCUGGUCUGCAACUGACGCUGAGGCUCGAAAGCAUGGGUAGCGAACAGG
RNAcentral lists this ribosomal RNA (429 nucleotides) under bacterium. RNAcentral describes it as "partial 16S ribosomal RNA". It matches the Rfam family "Bacterial small subunit ribosomal RNA", at positions 355 to 776 of the family's 1533-position model. The record is from RNAcentral.